GACGAACGCUGGCGGCGUGCUUAACACAUGCAAGUCGAACGGUAAGGCCCCUUCGGGGGUCCACGAGUGGCGAACGGGUGAGUAACACGUGAGCAACCUGCCCUUGACUCUGGAAUAACAGUUGGAAACAGCUGCUAAUACUGGAUAUUCAUCGUCUCCUUCCUGGGGGGUGGUGGAAAGCUCCGGCGGUCAGGGAUGGGCUCGCGACCUAUCAGCUUGUUGGUGAGGUAAUGGCUCACCAAGGCUUCGACGGGUAGCCGGCCUGAGAGGGCGACCGGCCACACUGGGACUGAGAUACGGCCCAGACUCCUACGGGAGGCAGCAGUGGGGAAUAUUGCACAAUGGGCGCAAGCCUGAUGCAGCAACGCCGCGUGCGGGAUGACGGCCUUCGGGUUGUAAACCGCUUUCAGUAGGGACGAAGGGUGACUGACGGUACCUACAGAAGAAGGACCGGCUAACUACGUG
Molecule: ribosomal RNA, 465 nt
Filed under: uncultured bacterium
Lineage: Bacteria
Description: partial 16S ribosomal RNA
Rfam family: Bacterial small subunit ribosomal RNA
Source: RNAcentral